This 230-nucleotide ribosomal RNA is filed under the name uncultured microorganism. RNAcentral describes it as "partial 16S ribosomal RNA". It matches the Rfam family "Bacterial small subunit ribosomal RNA", at positions 524 to 753 of the family's 1533-position model. The record is from RNAcentral.
UACGUAGGGGUCGAGCGUUGUCCGGAGUUACUGGGCGUAAAGCGUGUGCAGGCGGCGGCCUGCGCCUGGCGUGAAAGCCCCCGGCUCAACCGGGGAGGGUCGUCGGGGACGGGGCCGCUUGAGGGUAUCAGGGGCAGGUAGAAUUCCCGGUGUAGUGGUGAAAUGCGUAGAGAUCGGGAGGAAUACCCGUGGCGAAGGCGGCCUGCUGGGAUACACCUGACGCUGAGACA